AUUGAACGCUGGCGGCAUGCCUUACACAUGCAAGCCGAACGGCAGCGGGCCCUUCGGGGUGCCGGCGAGUGGCGAACGGGUGAGUAAUGCAUCGGAACGUACCCGGGAGAGGGGGAUAACCGGCCGAAAGGCUGGCUAAUACCGCAUGAACUCGGAAGAGCAAAGCGGGGGACCUUCGGGCCUCGCGCUCUCGGAGCGGCCGAUGUCCGAUUAGGCUAGUUGGUGGGGUAAAGGCCCACCAAGGCGACGAUCGGUAGCGGGUCUGAGAGGACGAUCCGCCACACUGGGACUGAGACACGGCCCAGACUCCUACGGGAGGCAGCAGUGGGGAAUCUUGGACAAUGGGCGCAAGCCUGAUCCAGCAAUGCCGCGUGGGUGAAGAAGGCCUUCGGGUUGUAAAGCCCUUUCGGCGGGGAAGAAAUCGGUCAGGCAAAUAGUCUGGCUGGAUGACGGUACCCGCAGAAGAAGCACCGGCUAACUACGUG
RNAcentral lists this ribosomal RNA (485 nucleotides) under uncultured bacterium. RNAcentral describes it as "partial 16S ribosomal RNA". It matches the Rfam family "Bacterial small subunit ribosomal RNA", at positions 28 to 507 of the family's 1533-position model. The record is from RNAcentral.